GAAGGCAUAGUUCAGUGGUAGACUGCAUGCUUAGCAUGUACAAAGUUCUGGGUUCAAUCCCCAGUACCUCUG
This 72-nucleotide transfer RNA is filed under the name Camelus ferus (Wild Bactrian camel). It matches the Rfam family "tRNA". From Rfam's summary of the family: Transfer RNA (tRNA) molecules are approximately 80 nucleotides in length. The record is from Rfam by way of RNAcentral. Lineage: Eukaryota; Metazoa; Chordata; Mammalia; Artiodactyla; Camelidae.